CUUUCACCCCCCCCCCCCGGCCAUUACCGAAGCGGAUGAAAACAAACACUAACGAUGGCGGCGCCGGGAAGCGACCGGCUGCUGGGCUUAAGGCGGGAGUGACCGCUUAACCAGUGAGGGAAGCACUGAAGAGCGCCAGUCGACGUGGGUGCGACAACUCGCGGAGUCUUAGGAGCAAAACGUCUGGGGCCUGCGAGCCAGGACCCUUCUGAAGCCUUAGGUGUCUAUCGGCGACGUGUACGGUCACUGCAGCUCCGGAGCGCGGAACCCUCAGCCAGGAGGCGCGGCUGGUCGGUCCCAGGUCCCGGCCUCCGUAAUGAGAGCCCGGAACCACUCUUUGUGCCGCAGCUUCGCAGGCUGGAGUGUAGUGGUGUGAUCUUGGCUCGCUGCAACCUCUGCCUCCCAGGUUCAAGCGAUUCUCCUGCCUCAGCCUCCUGAGUAACUGGGAUUACAGGCUGGAGUGCAAUGACAUGAUCACAGCUCACUGCAGCCAUACCU
This 498-nucleotide long non-coding RNA is filed under the name Homo sapiens (human). RNAcentral's name for it is "non-protein coding lnc-ZNF408-5:1". Lineage: Eukaryota; Metazoa; Chordata; Mammalia; Primates; Hominidae. The record is from RNAcentral.